Molecule: non-coding RNA, 88 nt
Filed under: Pseudomonas donghuensis
Lineage: Bacteria; Pseudomonadati; Pseudomonadota; Gammaproteobacteria; Pseudomonadales; Pseudomonadaceae
Also listed under: 1 other name
Source: RNAcentral
CGUUAUGGCGGCUGUGCGCGGGAGACCUUCGGGUCUGCCGGGUUUUCCAAUGCCUCGGUUUUCCACCCCGCGUACAGCUGCCACCUUU